This 357-nucleotide ribosomal RNA is filed under the name uncultured Brevundimonas sp. RNAcentral's name for it is "bacterial SSU rRNA". It matches the Rfam family "Bacterial small subunit ribosomal RNA", at positions 381 to 755 of the family's 1533-position model. The record is from RNAcentral. Lineage: Bacteria; Pseudomonadati; Pseudomonadota; Alphaproteobacteria; Caulobacterales; Caulobacteraceae.
GCCUGACGCAGCUAUGCCGCGUGAAUGAUGAAGGUCUUAGGAUUGUAAAAUUCUUUCACCGGGGACGAUAAUGACGGUACCCGGAGAAGAAGCCCCGGCUAACUUCGUGCCAGCAGCCGCGGUAAUACGAAGGGGGCUAGCGUUGCUCGGAAUUACUGGGCGUAAAGGGAGCGUAGGCGGACAUUUAAGUCAGGGGUGAAAUCCCGGGGCUCAACCUCGGAAUUGCCUUUGAUACUGGAUGUCUUGAGUGUGAGAGAGGUAUGUGGAACUCCNAGUGUAGAGGUGAAAUUCGUAGAUAUUCGGAAGAACACCACUGGCGAAGGCGACAUACUGGCUCAUUACUGACGCUGAAGCUCG